RNAcentral lists this ribosomal RNA (253 nucleotides) under uncultured bacterium. RNAcentral describes it as "partial 16S ribosomal RNA". It matches the Rfam family "Bacterial small subunit ribosomal RNA", at positions 524 to 776 of the family's 1533-position model. The record is from RNAcentral.
UACGAAGGGGGCUAGCGUUGCUCGGAAUCACUGGGCGUAAAGCGCACGUAGGCGGAUCAUUAAGUCGGGGGUGAAAUCCUGGAGCUCAACUCCAGAACUGCCUUCGAUACUGAAGAUCUCGAGUCCGGGAGAGGUGAGUGGAACUCCGAGUGUAGAGGUGAAAUGCGUUGAUAUCAGGAGGAACACCCAUGGCGAAGGCAGCAUACUGGUCGGCAUCUGACGCUGAGGCGCGAAAGCGUGGGUAGCAAACAGG